GAAUUCUAGAUCUAGGAGGAAAGGGGGCUCUGUAUACAGUUGGCAUUGAGCCUCCAUAGCUUGAUCUUCCAGGGGACCUGGGACCAAAGGCUAUCAUCGUGGCUGCUAGGGACUAAAUGAAUCCACUGAGCUAGAUCCUCUCUUCCUAAAGAAUCCCCACCAUCUUGCACUUCUCUCUAGAUCUCAGAUUUAAGAGGACAGGGCCUUUUAAUUGAGGAUUUCCAAGCAGAUAGUCUCUAGUCCCUAGGAGAUUCCCAGACCAAAAGGGGAUCUCCAUUAUCCUGAGCAGAUUCAUAUAGUCACAGCCCCUUCAGAAUCAUUCCUCUUCUACUCUUCUGCUCACCUGAUCUAUUACCAUCUUCUUCAGUGCAUCCAUCUUGGUAUUGCCACGGAUGAGUCGAUCCAAAAUCCGAUACCAACCACCUACCACAGGGCCCUGAAGACAAACUCAGGAUAGGAGAAACAAAAAAGGGAAUGUGAGUUAGUUCCAGUGUUCCCAGGGGAAUUGAACUCCUAUUUCUGGCAGGCCCAGAAUGCCUGGAACUGGUGUCAGAUACAGCUUCUACAAAAGGGAAGAUACAAGACUGACUCGAUUUCUCCAGGAUCCAUCGGGGUGAUAUAAUAAAAGCUGAGCCUCCCUAGGCUCUCCUGGUCUACAUCAAAACUCCUCCCGAGGUCUGAUCAGAAUAAGAUCAUUCUCAGACAUAGCAAAAGUCAAACCCAAUGCCAUACAAAAGAUUGUGAGAUUGGACCAGAUACUACCCAGGGGUAGAAUUCACUCCUGGUAUGUUCUGUGGGGCAGGAUAAUGAGUGAGGGAGAUUAUGAUUCAAAUCCCACUUUUUAAAAAAUCUUUACCUUCCAUCUUAGAAUCAAUACUGUAUUGAUUCUAAGGCAGAAGAGUGGUAAGGGCUAGGCAGUGGGGGUUAAGUGACUUGCCUAGGGUCACCUAGCUAAGAAGUAUCUGAGGCUACAUUUGAACCCAGGACCUCCCUUCUCUAGGCCUGGCUCUCAAUCCACUGAGCCACCCUGCUGCCCCCUCAAAUCUCACUCCUCACAUUUAGUAGCUGUAUAACUUUGAUCAAAUAAUGAAAUCUCUCCAUCUCAGUUUUCUCAUUUACAGAAUAAGAGUAAUGACAUUAGUGAAGUAACUACCAAACAGAGUUUUGUUAUGAGGAUGAAAUGAGAGAAUAUAUCUAAAAUAAUUUAUAAGACACACAAGCAUUAUGUAGAUUUAAUAUAUUAUUAAUAACAAUACUAAUAAUAGGUCAUUAAUGUCCAGAAAAGGGUAUAGAGGACUCAAUCUUUCUCCCCCAUGUCUGUAGUUUGGUCCAUUUUGAGCACUGUUCCCAGAAUAUGAGGCUACUCUGUAGAAAUAUGAGGGACUUUCUGGGAAACAGGGUAUUCUGGAGAUCUAGUGAGUCUAGUUAUACGUUUGGUUCAGUUUGUACCCUGGCCCAUAACAAAACCUUCAAGACAGAGCCUGGAACUUAACUGGCUUCUGCAAAGGAAAUUACUUGGAAAGAGCUUUGGUUCUCAAUCCUAUCCUGGUCAGAUGUCCAGGAACCAGGGACCCCCAAGUAUGGCCUAUUCAUUCCACCACUCUCUCCUUAUGGUAGGAUUCUCAAACUUUCUCCACAAAAUCUCAAGCAUCUCUUCCAUGGCCAGAAGACACUUUCUAGGCUCACUACCAGGAUGUAAAAAGAAAAGGCAAAGGGGUCAUCCCUCUUUUCUCCUCAAGUCCACCCUCAGACCUUCCUCCUGGCAGCUGCCAACUCUGGACAAAUGUAGAAGCUGGCUGGGCACAAAGCCCAGCGUGUCAGUUCCCAUCAUGGCCACAUAGUGCAGCAUGAGUCACCACACACACACUCAGCCCAGGUGAGUCACUGCCCUGGCGGGCACACCGAGGACAAGACAUGGGGUGGUCAGACACAGUGGGCUGGGUAAGGACCCAGGGGAGUCUGAAGCAGGGGAGUGAGAUGGGAAUAACUCGGAUACUCAGAGCCACUUAUUUUAGACUCCCAGGUUGAUGUGGCAGUAAAAAGGAAAAGGUCUUUAGCACCAACUCCUACUCCUCUCUUUCAACAACACCUGGACCCUUUCUAGGCUCCUUAUCUUAAAUGGUCCAGAAUUCUACCCCAAGGCAAAUCCCCAUGGUCUGGGGCUAUGGUCAAGACUCCUUCAUCCAACAAAAUUUACUUGUAUAUCAUCCCUUCAGGGUCCUUUGCCCUAAUCUUCAAGGAUACUUCAUUUGUUAAAUGAAAGUAUUCAUAGACUCUAGUGGGUUAUUUUCCCCAGGUCAUAUAUUUGUCUCUUCACACAAAGGACUGACUAGAGUAAAUCUUGGGUUCCCACAGCUGGGUUCCAAAGGAGGGUUUUCUUGGGUGAGCUAAACUUUAAGUCUUCAAAUCACAUCUCAAGAAUGGUUUUUCCUUGUACCCUCACCUCCUUUAGAAAGAGUCCCAACCUGGACUUUCCCUUGUGAGGAAUGAAGAUUGUGAUAAGAAAAGCAUAAAUGGAAAAAAGAAGGAAGGAUACCUUUCAAUCCAUUAAGGAUGACCUUGGCCCCAAGAUAGAUUGGUUAUGGGGAGAAUGAACCCUAAAAGGACCUCAAGGAAAAUCUUGUUUUGAUUAUACUUAUAGAACCACCUCAUCCUGGUGGGUAGGGCUAAGGAGAAUCUCUGCUUUUGAUGUCCCUCUGCUAGUUGGUAAACAGGAUUGAGGGAGGUGAGAAGGGAAUUGAGUUUCUUCCCUAAAGGCACAGCCUACUGCAGUCCCUCCCAGGCCCAGGGAAAUACUCACCAGCUGUGA
This is a long non-coding RNA of Monodelphis domestica (gray short-tailed opossum), 2809 nucleotides long. RefSeq lists it as uncharacterized. The record is from RefSeq and is a predicted model, not a curated record. NCBI's taxonomy places the organism in Eukaryota, Metazoa, Chordata, Mammalia, Didelphimorphia, Didelphidae.